RNAcentral lists this ribosomal RNA (255 nucleotides) under uncultured bacterium. Its description in RNAcentral is "partial 16S ribosomal RNA". It matches the Rfam family "Bacterial small subunit ribosomal RNA", at positions 524 to 776 of the family's 1533-position model. The record is from RNAcentral.
CACGGAGGGGGCUAGCGUUGUUCGGAAUUACUGGGCGUAAAGCGCACGUAGGCGGCUUUGUAAGUUAGAGGUGAAAGCCCGGGGCUCAACUCCGGAAUUGCCUUUAAGACUGCAUCGCUAGAAUUGUGGAGAGGUAAGUGGAAUUCCGAGUGUAGAGGUGAAAUUCGUAGAUAUUCGGAAGAACACCAGUGGCGAAGGCGACUUACUGGACACAUAUUGACGCUGAGGUGCGAAAAGCGUGGGGGAGCAAACAGG